GACGAACGCUGGCGGCGUGCUUAACACAUGCAAGUCGAACGGAAAGGCCCUGCUGUUGUGGGUUUCUCGAGUGGCGAACGGGUGAGUAACAAGUGAGUAACCUGCCCUUGACUUUGGGAUAACUUCAGGAAACUGGGGCUAAUACCGCAUAGGAGCUCCUGCUGCACGGUGGGGGUUGGAAAGGUUCGGCGGUUGGGGAUGGACUCGCGGCUGAUCAGCUUGUUGGUGGGGGAGUGGCUUACCAAGGCUUAGACGGGUAGCCGGCCUGAGAGGGGGGACGGGCACCAGGGGACUGAGAGACGGAGCAGACGCGAACGGGACGCAGUAGGCGGGAGCAUUACGCAGUGAGGGCACGCGUGAUGCGGCAGCGCCGGGUGUGGGAUGACGGCCUUGCGGUGGUGAACCGAUUUCGCCUGAGACGAAGCGUGAGUGACGGUAAUGGGUAAAGAAGCACCGGCUAACUACGUG
Molecule: ribosomal RNA, 468 nt
Filed under: uncultured bacterium
Lineage: Bacteria
Description: partial 16S ribosomal RNA
Rfam family: Bacterial small subunit ribosomal RNA
Source: RNAcentral